CCACUGAGCAAGAAAAUCUAACACCAAAACAGAAAAAUUCAGUUUAAAUAAAUAAUCAAAACAUGAAACAAGGCAUCCAAAACUCAAAAAAGAAUAGGGAAUUCUUUUUCACUGCUGUAACACAGCAUUAUUCCAACAAGUUUUUACUUUUAAUUCAAAUGCGAAAAUGAGGAAAAGAACCGCAGGCAAAGCAGUGCAAGAUACACUAAAAUGGCAAAAAGAAAAAAAUAGAUUGUUGCAGGAUUGAUCCCUCUGCUCCAUUCCCUUCCCAUCAACCUACAACUCAUUCCAAACCCUAAUUUUUCAGUAUAAAAUCAAUGCAUCUCAGAGAACAAGAAAAAAAAAGAGAAAUCUCAUCCACCAUCAAACAACAGAUAUCCCAGCAAAUCGAAAAAACCAUAGCCACUAUCAUCUAGCAACUACCAUUUUUACAUCAAUAUCCAGUUGUUACGAAAUACCACCCUACACCUCAGAAAAACUAUAUUUCCUAUAUUCAUUGAAGCUUCAAGUUGAAGUUCGAUGAGCCUGAGUUAGACAUUCUCAUACCAAAACUCAAACCAUUGCAAGAAGAAGGAACAUUGAAGCAAAAGGAUAAGAGGAAGAUUUUACCUUAUUAAACUCGGCAAGCCACUAUUCACUUGGACGGUUUCAGAAGCAAAAGGAAGUGAGAAUGGAGAAGGGAGCGGCGAAAGCUGAGAGAAGAGGGAAUUAGGGGUCCCCUGGGAUGGGUCGUUUGGAUUUUAUGUAAUGUUGCAAGUAUUGUUUAUGAGCUAAUGAGAAAACCCUUUUAGCAUGAUAUUGUGAAGUAUUUGGAUGUGCAUAAAUGUUAAAUUGUGAGAGCAAAAAGAAGAGUCAGCUACUUGGGUUUUUCACUCAUCUAUGCAAGUGUUGAAAAACUGAACAAGUGCAAAAAUCCAAUCGUGUUUAACUACAGCAUCUUUGUUAAAAUUGUUUUUAUUUAACGUUAAUUUACUGUCAGUUAGAAUAAGCAAUGUUAGUGCUGUUAGUGAGUUGUUGCUUUUACCUAUUCUCUUGCCACUAUCCCACAUUUUUAGUGUUUGUUAGAGUGGGCUAUUUUUUCUCUGAUUCAGUUUCUGUAAGGCUAUUUAAGAGCCAUUUCUUUU
Molecule: long non-coding RNA, 1124 nt
Organism: Lathyrus oleraceus (garden pea)
Lineage: Eukaryota; Viridiplantae; Streptophyta; Magnoliopsida; Fabales; Fabaceae
Exons: 2
Source: RefSeq, a predicted model, not a curated record